UGUAGCCAAAUUUAUAAUUGUAACCUUGGGUCAUAAUCUCUAACCUUCACCACUAUGAAACUUUUAUGAGCUGGUUUUUAUGCAAGCAGCUAAGGUCCAUUCAAUGGUAUGAACAUGAAUGUUUGUCAGUUGUUAGAAUUCUUUUUGAGUUAGAACAUAUGCGUCUUAUACUGAUCUCUUGCGAAAAAUGAGUUCUAUGUUGUACUCUCUCUGUUAGAUUUAUCCUGCUAUCACAUGCCAUUUUUAUUUGAGUUGAAAACUCCCAUGGAGAAGCUAGAAUGUCAGCAUCGACCUCAUGCGUACUCGGAAUUUCAUCUAGUUUGACAUCUAGGUUAUGUAUCCUUGGUUGGAGCGGCGAAUAAGCUUAGGUACAUUGAACUGAUCAAGUGUAUCAGAGUCCAUGGAGGUAAAAAACUCCCAUGCAGAAGCUGGAAUGCAAGUGGAUGAAGCUCGAUUAAUAGGAAUCACUAAAACAGGACACAAAAUUAUACUCCCUCCCCAAAAUGUAAGGAGCAGAUUGACUUUUCUGGUCUUUGUUACACAACUUUGACUAUGAUUUUCAUGUGGUAUAUGUCUACAAAAUUAAUAGACAUGAAAAAACAAAUGCGACGAUGCCAUUUGUACAUGUUUUAUCCAUGUACUUGGUACUCCCUCCGUUCCGAAUUA
This is a long non-coding RNA of Triticum dicoccoides, 666 nucleotides long. RefSeq lists it as uncharacterized. The transcript is spliced from 2 exons. The record is from RefSeq and is a predicted model, not a curated record. Lineage: Eukaryota; Viridiplantae; Streptophyta; Magnoliopsida; Poales; Poaceae.